RNAcentral lists this ribosomal RNA (423 nucleotides) under uncultured bacterium. RNAcentral's name for it is "partial 16S ribosomal RNA". It matches the Rfam family "Bacterial small subunit ribosomal RNA", at positions 360 to 774 of the family's 1533-position model. The record is from RNAcentral.
AAUAUUGCGCAAUGGCCGAAAGGCUGACGCAGCGACGCCGCGUGCGGGAGGAAGCCCUUCGGGGUGUAAACCGCUGUCAGGGGGGACGAACCGCCGGGGUGGGAAUACUGGACCGGUCUGACGGUACCACACGAGGAGGCACGGGCAAACUACGUGCCCGCAGCCGCGGUAAUACGUAGGGGGCGAGCGUUAUCCGGAAUUACUGGGCGUAAAGGGUACGUAGGCGGCUAUAUAAGUCAGGUGUGAAAUACCCGUGCUUAACACUGGAAUUGCAUUUGAAACUGUGUAGCUUGAGUGCAGGAGAGGAAAGUGGAAUUCCUAGUGUAGCGGUGAAAUGCGUAGAGAUUAGGAGGAACACCAGUGGCGAAGGCGACUUUCUGGACUGUAACUGACGCUGAGGUACGAAAGCGUGGGUAGCGAACA